AGACGGAGUCUUGCUCUCUCACACAGGCUGCAGUGCAGUGGUGCAAUCUCAGCUCACUGCAACCUCCGCCUCCUGGGUUCAAGCAAUUCUCCUGCCCCAGGCUCUAGAGUAGCUGGGGCUACAGGCACACACCAUUACGCGCCUGGCUAAUUUUUGUAUUUUUAGUAGAGAGGGGGUUUUGCCAUGGUGGCCGGGCUGAGGAUGACUAUUUUAAAACACUUAUAUGAUCUAGGGCUAAAAUUACUCGUCAUUGUAUUACCAGUCAUGUCUUUGAUUAUAAAUUAAAUUGAACAUCUUUGAUAAACUUCUUUACCAAUUGAUCAUUCCUUUUAUGAACUGGUGAGCUACAUCGGUGUUAUCCCUUACCGUUUCACUCUUACAGUUUUCAAAACAUUUUUUCUUAUUCCCUUGUGAGUGCCUGUCAUGUAGUGACUUUAUGUAAGCACAUCUCUCAUGUAUUGAGUUGAUCAAGAUCCCAGGGGCGUGACCCAUGGCCCGGAAGGAAAGAUGCGCAGGGUCGGCCAAUGCAAGCCCUGACCUCUGUCCUCACCAGCCCACGCUCCUGCUGGAAACCCCCCUGGAUAUCAGAGGAUGGAGGAGUUGAGGAAGGAGGAUGUGGGCGUGCAGAAGCAUGGAGAGUGAAUUUGGAGGGCAGAUCAAGAAUGGCCGAUGCAAACAGUUGCUGAAUUUUUACUUUGGUCUGAGGUCUUACUUUAUCUUUUCAUUUAUUUAUGGCAUCUGUGAUAUACAGAGGUUAUAUGAAACUUUAGGCAGC
RNAcentral lists this long non-coding RNA (775 nucleotides) under Homo sapiens (human). RNAcentral's name for it is "HSALNT0344716". The record is from RNAcentral. Lineage: Eukaryota; Metazoa; Chordata; Mammalia; Primates; Hominidae.